GCAUCCUCCGGGUCUCCCAUCAUCCUUGCUGCCCUCUCGCACUCCCCAGGCCAACCUAGGUUAGUCCUAGAACUUCUCGCUGUUUUUUUGUUUCUCUUUUUUUUUGUGCCCUAUUUGUUUAGCUUCCUUAAGGGCCUGUUCGCUAUUUUUCUAAUUUUUUCGAGAUUUUGUAGCUUUCGUUCGAUCCAAAAUAUCUUUCGAUACCUCCUCUUCUAGUAGUUCUAGGAGUUCGUCAGCCCCAGUUUUCUAUAGUACUGGUACCAUAGACGAACCCGUAGCUAGGACCGAACCUUGUUUGGCCUUUGUGCCGGACACCAUCCCUGGCUCUUUGACUCCGGAUGAACUCUCACUGAUAAGGAUUCAGUAUGGAGUUCCUCCGGAGUAUGAGCUGGAGCUUCCUGAGCCAUCUGAUCGGGCUAGCGCCCCUCCUUCUGGUCGCUUCUGUCUGUCCCAGAAGACCUUCCGUGCCAAACUUUAGCUCCCGCUGCCGCCCUUUGUUGCCGCUCUCUUUCAUUUUCUGAACAUUUCUCUAGCUUCCAUUGUGCCGAACUCCUUUGGUUUUUGAUAGGGUUUCUUUCCCUUCCUUUUGUCUUCUUGCAUUGAUUUGAGUCAUGGCACUCUUGUCUUCUAACGACAGUGUCCUGUCGAGGCUCUUCCCCUGUCGGAGGGUAUUCCCAUGAAGUCGAUGAUACGAGACCUCCAA
This 703-nucleotide long non-coding RNA is filed under the name Elaeis guineensis (African oil palm). Its description in RNAcentral is "long non-coding RNA (EGUI_LNC078492)". Lineage: Eukaryota; Viridiplantae; Streptophyta; Magnoliopsida; Arecales; Arecaceae. The record is from RNAcentral.